AUGCCGUUUCGUCCGUGUCCUUCUGGAUGUGGUCGUUUCCUGUCUUCGGUUGACGGUCACGAGCGUUGUCUGCAGUGUCUGGGCGUCCAACACGCUGAGGCUGCGCUCGUGGAUGAUUCAUGCGUCUACUGUGGGCGUAUGAACAUGGCAGCGCUGCGAUCGCGUCUCUCACUCCUCAAGGGGAGUGCAGCAGACCCCUCUGUCGCCACCCAUCCCGGUCUCUCUGGCUCGAGCAGAGGGCCGCCGGCUGGCGCUCUGGGAGAUCUGAGGAUUACAGUGAGAGCUUCUCCGCCGGGCCACGCCCCACGGACCUCUCACUCCUUGCGCAGCGCCUGUCCCGUGCAGCUGCCGAUUGAUUCUGCUGGGCCGUCUCACAGCGGUCCCAGCGUGUCUUUCGGUGCGCCGCCCGAAGACCAGAUGUCGAUUGCUGCAUCGGGGGAUGGGUUAUCGACCUCUGAGGAUGAGGGUUCGGCGGGGCUGCCCCCCUUGGGUGUUGUCGCUGCUGCCGACUCUGACUUGGAGUUGUCGGCCAUGCUUGCCCGGGCAGCCGUGAGUAUCGGGCUGGAGGUGACUACACCGCCCAGUCCCGAGCCCUCGCGGCUGGAUGAUUGGUUUCUCGGCGCGGGACGCGGCUCACAACCUCGUUCUGCUCCGGUGCCUUUCUUCCCGGAGGUGCAUGAAGAGGUGACGAAGUCGUGGACGGCCCCUUUCACGGCCAGAAGACGCUCGUCUCCCUCUUCCAUCCUCACCACCCUCGACGGCGGGGCAGCCAGGGGGUACGUAGAGGUUCCCCAGGUGGAGAGGGCGGUUGCGGUGCACCUGUGCCCGCAAAACGCCGCCACUUGGAGGAAUCGUCCGCGUCUUCCGUCCAAGGCCUGUAAGCUGUCGGCCGCACUCGCUGCCAAGGCUUACAGUGCUGCGGGCCAAGCUGCCUCUGCCCUGCAUGCCAUGGCCAUCCUGCAGGUACACCAAGCCGAGGCACUCAAAGCAAUGCACGAGGGUGGUACCAACCCGGGGUUGAUGCAGGAGCUGCGCACGGUGACUGACUUCGCCUUACGGGCGACGAAGGUCACGGCGUGGUCCCUCGGGAAGGCGAUGUCCACGCUGGUGGUCCAGGAGCGGCAUCUCUGGCUGAACCUGGCUGAGAUGAGGGACAUGGACAAAGCUCGCUUUCUCUGUCGAGCGGCCAGUGGCACCCACAUUUUCAAUAAAAGAGCAAAUUCUACUUCCUCCGAUUCGCAAGGCUCGUGGGCUGACAAUGAGCGACGCACAGCUUCCUCACUCUCACCCACGACGCCCCCUUUCGCCAGCGGGCAAGAGGUCGCGGUUCAGAGACGCAACACCUCUCCACUCGUCUCUGGCCAGUUCCUCCAGGAACACGGGGAGUGUGGUUGUGAUGACCCAGGACGCAGUGCCUUCUGGGCCUUCCGGCACGACUCCCCAUUGCUGCACCACUGCGGGUAUGUCGACUGUCCCCUUGGUGCCACUUGUACGGAGUCUGGUAGCGUGGCUUGCGCUGCCCAACCCGUCACGCUGGCUCAUCCGGACGGUCCGACUCGGCUAUGCGAUUCAGUUCGCCCGGCGACCCCCCAAGUUCAAUGGCGUGCUCGAGACUUCGGUGGCAGUCCAGGACGCCCCUGUCUUGCGUGA
RNAcentral lists this long non-coding RNA (1650 nucleotides) under Carassius auratus (goldfish). RNAcentral describes it as "lncRNA (ENSCARG00000008874.1)". Lineage: Eukaryota; Metazoa; Chordata; Actinopteri; Cypriniformes; Cyprinidae. The record is from RNAcentral.